GAUGAACGCUGGCGGCGUGCUUAACACAUGCAAGUCGAGCGAGAAGUUUUGAAAAGAUUCUUCGGAUGAAAUUUAAAAUGGAAAGCGGCGGACGGGUGAGUAACGCGUAGGCAACCUGCCACAUACAAAGGGAUAGCAUUUGGAAACGAAUAUUAAUACCUUAUGAAACUUAACUAGUGCAUGCUAGGUAGGUCAAAGAUUUAUCGGUAUGGGAUGGGCCUGCGUCUGAUUAGCUAGUUGGUGAGGUAACGGCUCACCAAGGCGACGAUCAGUAGCCGACCUGAGAGGGUGAACGGCCACAUUGGAACUGAGACACGGUCCAAACUCCUACGGGAGGCAGCAGUGGGGAAUAUUGCACAAUGGGGGAAACCCUGAUGCAGCAACGCCGCGUGAACGAUGAAGGCCUUUGGGUCGUAAAGUUCUGUUCUAGGUGAUGAAAACUGACAGUAACCUAGGAGAAAGCCCCGGCUAACUCCGUG
RNAcentral lists this ribosomal RNA (479 nucleotides) under uncultured bacterium. RNAcentral's name for it is "partial 16S ribosomal RNA". It matches the Rfam family "Bacterial small subunit ribosomal RNA", at positions 28 to 507 of the family's 1533-position model. The record is from RNAcentral.